UUAAGCGACUAAGCGUACACGGUGGAUGCCCUGGCAGUCAGAGGCGAUGAAGGACGUGCUAAUCUGCGAUAAGCGUCGGUAAGGUGAUAUGAACCGUUAUAACCGGCGAUUUCCGAAUGGGGAAACCCAGUGUGUUUCGACACACUAUCAUUAACUGAAUCCAUAGGUUAAUGAGGCGAACCGGGGGAACUGAAACAUCUAAGUACCCCGAGGAAAAGAAAUCAACCGAGAUUCCCCCAGUAGCGGCGAGCGAACGGGGAGCAGCCCAGAGCCUGAAUCAGUGUGUGUGUUAGUGGAAGCGUCUGGAAAGGCGCGCGAUACAGGGUGACAGCCCCGUACACAAAAAUGCACAUGCUGUGAGCUCGAUGAGUAGGGCGGGACACGUGGUAUCCUGUCUGAAUAUGGGGGGACCAUCCUCCAAGGCUAAAUACUCCUGACUGACCGAUAGUGAACCAGUACCGUGAGGGAAAGGCGAAAAGAACCCCGGCGAGGGGAGUGAAAAAGAACCUGAAACCGUGUACGUACAAGCAGUGGGAGCACGCUUAGGCGUGUGACUGCGUACCUUUUGUAUAAUGGGUCAGCGACUUAUAUUCUGUAGCAAGGUUAACCGAAUAGGGGAGCCGAAGGGAAACCGAGUCUUAACUGGGCGUUAAGUUGCAGGGUAUAGACCCGAAACCCGGUGAUCUAGCCAUGGGCAGGUUGAAGGUUGGGUAACACUAACUGGAGGACCGAACCGACUAAUGUUGAAAAAUUAGCGGAUGACUUGUGGCUGGGGGUGAAAGGCCAAUCAAACCGGGAGAUAGCUGGUUCUCCCCGAAAGCUAUUUAGGUAGCGCCUCGUGAAUUCAUCUCCGGGGGUAGAGCACUGUUUCGGCAAGGGGGUCAUCCCGACUUACCAACCCGAUGCAAACUGCGAAUACCGGAGAAUGUUAUCACGGGAGACACACGGCGGGUGCUAACGUCCGUCGUGAAGAGGGAAACAACCCAGACCGCCAGCUAAGGUCCCAAAGUCAUGGUUAAGUGGGAAACGAUGUGGGAAGGCCCAGACAGCCAGGAUGUUGGCUUAGAAGCAGCCAUCAUUUAAAGAAAGCGUAAUAGCUCACUGGUCGAGUCGGCCUGCGCGGAAGAUGUAACGGGGCUAAACCAUGCACCGAAGCUGCGGCAGCGACGCUUAUGCGUUGUUGGGUAGGGGAGCGUUCUGUAAGCCUGUGAAGGUGUGCUGUGAGGCAUGCUGGAGGUAUCAGAAGUGCGAAUGCUGACAUAAGUAACGAUAAAGCGGGUGAAAAGCCCGCUCGCCGGAAGACCAAGGGUUCCUGUCCAACGUUAAUCGGGGCAGGGUGAGUCGACCCCUAAGGCGAGGCCGAAAGGCGUAGUCGAUGGGAAACAGGUUAAUAUUCCUGUACUUGGUGUUACUGCGAAGGGGGGACGGAGAAGGCUAUGUUGGCCGGGCGACGGUUGUCCCGGUUUAAGCGUGUAGGCUGGUUUUCCAGGCAAAUCCGGAAAAUCAAGGCUGAGGCGUGAUGACGAGGCACUACGGUGCUGAAGCAACAAAUGCCCUGCUUCCAGGAAAAGCCUCUAAGCAUCAGGUAACAUCAAAUCGUACCCCAAACCGACACAGGUGGUCAGGUAGAGAAUACCAAGGCGCUUGAGAGAACUCGGGUGAAGGAACUAGGCAAAAUGGUGCCGUAACUUCGGGAGAAGGCACGCUGAUAUGUAGGUGAAGUCCCUUGCGGAUGGAGCUGAAAUCAGUCGAAGAUACCAGCUGGCUGCAACUGUUUAUUAAAAACACAGCACUGUGCAAACACGAAAGUGGACGUAUACGGUGUGACGCCUGCCCGGUGCCGGAAGGUUAAUUGAUGGGGUCAGCGCAAGCGAAGCUCUUGAUCGAAGCCCCGGUAAACGGCGGCCGUAACUAUAACGGUCCUAAGGUAGCGAAAUUCCUUGUCGGGUAAGUUCCGACCUGCACGAAUGGCGUAAUGAUGGCCAGGCUGUCUCCACCCGAGACUCAGUGAAAUUGAACUCGCUGUGAAGAUGCAGUGUACCCGCGGCAAGACGGAAAGACCCCGUGAACCUUUACUAUAGCUUGACACUGAACAUUGAGCCUUGAUGUGUAGGAUAGGUGGGAGGCUUAGAAGUGUGGACGCCAGUCUGCAUGGAGCCGACCUUGAAAUACCACCCUUUAAUGUUUGAUGUUCUAACGUUGACCCGUAAUCCGGGUUGCGGACAGUGUCUGGUGGGUAGUUUGACUGGGGCGGUCUCCUCCUAAAGAGUAACGGAGGAGCACGAAGGUUGGCUAAUCCUGGUCGGACAUCAGGAGGUUAGUGCAAUGGCAUAAGCCAGCUUGACUGCGAGCGUGACGGCGCGAGCAGGUGCGAAAGCAGGUCAUAGUGAUCCGGUGGUUCUGAAUGGAAGGGCCAUCGCUCAACGGAUAAAAGGUACUCCGGGGAUAACAGGCUGAUACCGCCCAAGAGUUCAUAUCGACGGCGGUGUUUGGCACCUCGAUGUCGGCUCAUCACAUCCUGGGGCUGAAGUAGGUCCCAAGGGUAUGGCUGUUCGCCAUUUAAAGUGGUACGCGAGCUGGGUUUAGAACGUCGUGAGACAGUUCGGUCCCUAUCUGCCGUGGGCGCUGGAGAACUGAGGGGGGCUGCUCCUAGUACGAGAGGACCGGAGUGGACGCAUCACUGGUGUUCGGGUUGUCAUGCCAAUGGCACUGCCCGGUAGCUAAAUGCGGAAGAGAUAAGUGCUGAAAGCAUCUAAGCACGAAACUUGCCCCGAGAUGAGUUCUCCCUGACUCCUUGAGAGUCCUGAAGGAACGUUGAAGACGACGACGUUGAUAGGCCGGGUGUGUAAGCGCAGCGAUGCGUUGAGCUAACCGGUACUAAUGAACCGUGAGGCUUAACCUU
Molecule: ribosomal RNA, 2902 nt
Filed under: Escherichia coli
Lineage: Bacteria; Pseudomonadati; Pseudomonadota; Gammaproteobacteria; Enterobacterales; Enterobacteriaceae
Also listed under: 1 other name
Description: bacterial LSU rRNA
Rfam family: Bacterial large subunit ribosomal RNA
Source: RNAcentral